CAGAAGAAAAGUUUCUAAGUUAAUAAUACAUUUCAUGUUAAACUUGAUUUAGCAGUGCUGUAGUUCAGGUGUUUUUGAUUGUGUGGUGCUGUAGUUCAGGUGUUUGUGAUUGUGUGGUGCUGUAGUUCAGGUGUGUGUUUCGGGUGUUUAUGAUUGUGUGGGGCUGUAGGUCAGGUGUGUGUUUCAGGUGUUUGUGAUUGCGCGGGGCAGUAGGUCAGGUGUGUGUUUCAAGUGUUUGUGUGGUGCUGUAGUUCAGGUGUGUGUUUCGGGUGUUUGUGGUUGUGCGGGGCUGUAGUUCAGGCAUUUGUGAUUGUGCGAUGCUGUAGUUCAGGUGUUUAUGAUUGUGCUGUAGUUCAGGUGUGUGUUUCAGGUGUUUGUGAUUGUGUGGGGCUGUAGGUCAGGUGUGUGUUUCAGGUGUUUGUGCGGUGCUGUAGUUCAGGUGUGUGUUUCGGGUGUUUGUGAUUGUGCGGGGCUGUAGUUCAGGCGUUUGUGAUUGUGCGAUGCUGUAGUUCAGGUGUGUGUUUCAGGUGUUUGUGCAGUGCUGUAGUCCAGGUGUGUGUUUCGGGUGUUUGUGGUUGUGCGGGGCUGUAGUUCAGGCGUUUGUGAUUGUGCAAUGCUGUAGUUCAGGUGUGUGUUUCAGGUGUUUGUGCAGUGCUGUAGUUCAGGUGUGUGUUUCGGGUGUUUGUGGUUGUGCGGGGCUGUAGUUCAGGUGUGUGUUUCAGGUAUUUUUGAUUGUGCGGUGCUGUAGUUCAGGUGUUUGUGGUUGUGCGGGGCUGUAGUUCAGGUGUUUGUGAUUGCUCGGGAUUGUGCAGUGCUGUAGUUCAGGUGUGUGUUUUGGGUGUUUGUGAUUGUGUGGUGCUGUAGUUCAGGUGUGUGUUUCAGGUGUUUGUGAUUGUGCUGUAGUUCAGGUGUGUGUUUCAGAUGUUUGUGAUUGUGCUGUAGUUCAGGUGUGUGUUUCAGGUGUUUGUGAUUGUGCUGUAGUUCAGGUGUGUGUUUCAGGUGUUUCUGAUUGUGCUGUAGUUCAGGAGUGUGUUUCAGGUGUUUGUGAUGGUGCUGUAGUUCAGGUGUGUGUUUCAGGUGUUUGUGAUUGUGCUGUAGG
Molecule: long non-coding RNA, 1099 nt
Organism: Carassius auratus (goldfish)
Lineage: Eukaryota; Metazoa; Chordata; Actinopteri; Cypriniformes; Cyprinidae
Exons: 3
Source: RefSeq, a predicted model, not a curated record